GUAAAACUGCCCUCUAGCCUCGCCGGAGAUGGGUGUACUUAUUCCCGAGUCGAUUUCAUCCCAAAAACCUUGCAAAAACACGACAUAUAACUUCAAUUUCACAUCUAACCUUCGAUCUAGAAUAUAAAAAGAAAAACCCGAAGCUUACCUACCUGAGAAAUUGAAGGAACUCGCCGGAGCAGGUGCGAUGGUGUGCGUGUGGGUCUCGGUGCAGAGAGAAGAGAGAUCUCUGUGUGAGUGUGUGUGGUUGGACUGGGAGAAGGGAGAAGAGAGAUCGAGAGAUCUCUGUGUGAGUGUGUGUGUGGUUGGACUGGGAGAAGGGAGAAGAGAGAUCGAGAAGGAUCUCUGUGUGAGUGUGUGUGUGGUUGGGCGAAGGGAGAAGAGAGAUCGAGAAGGAUCUCUGUGUGAGUGUGUGUGUGGUUGGACUGGGCGAGAGAGAGAGAGAGAGAGAAAGAGAGAGAGACUUUAACAUACCACCCAAGGUGGACGGGUAGUGGACGGGAGACUUAAACAAACAAAACCAUUGGCUUUGAUGGUUGUAACUUGUAAUUAUGAGGUGGACAGGUGACGUGAAAGAGGUGAAGUGCACCUCUGAUGGUUUUAACUUUUAAUAAAUGUUAUAUAAAUUAUUUAGAUAAUAUUUUGUUUUUUUUACUAAGCAAGCAGAUUAUAUUCGAACCCUCCCUUUGUCAACCACGCACCUAAGCUUUAUCCAACUCGCUACAGAUGUGUUUGUGAUUACAUAUUCAGCCUGUAAUAUUUAUAUGGUCGUUAAGAUGUCUGCAAGGCUUGCAAGCUAAUAUUUAUUAUCUAGGAUAAAUUUCUAUAUUUUAAAAAACACCAAGGUGAAAAUUUUGAACCUCAUAGGAACUCUAUGUGGUACUAAGUCACUCAUGUAUCUUACCAUGCAAUGUAUAAAGUGUAAAAUAUUGUACUAAUUCAUUAUAUAUAAAUGAUUAUGGUGUGUUUAGACUUCUUUCAUUAAUUACUACAUAUUUUAUACACUCACAAUGUUUGUCAGCUCACUAUAUAAUCAACUUGAUAAUGUUAAAUCCAUCAUGCAAUGCAUUUCCUUCCAAUUUUUUGUGAUAAACUAAUAGAUAAUUGACUAAAUAAACAUUCUGCAAAGUUUCAAUAAAAAUUUCCAAGUUUUUCUUACAAUUUCCAUGGUUUCCAUGUAAUUUUUAUCGAUAUCGAUAUUAUCCCGAUAUUUCCAUCGAUAUUUCCGUGUUUUCGGACUACCGAUAUUUCCGAUAUUACCGAUAUUUUCUUGCACAUUGCACACGCGUCCUCAUCGUCCUCAUCCGUGUGCCUUUUCGUUGGAUUUUCUUACUGCUAUACACAUGUUCUUCAUCCCAAAACGGAGGAAAGAUGGAAAAUCAAGGCUCUUCCAUUUGCUUCCACAAAUUUCUUGAUCUCUCUCGAGCUCCGGAUCCUAGCCUCCGCAUGAAGGUUCGUCUCUUUCUCUUACCUUUUUUUUUUUCAAUUCGUGAUCGAAUUUUCUUUCCAAGAAUGUUAGAUCUGUUGCCUUCGGGAAGAAAGUUUAAACCUAGAAAAGUUUGGUUUUCAGGAAAUCGUCAAUCUUGCUGAAACCUUGGUUUCCUGGUGAGUUCUCCGGCAUAUUUGUUUUGGGUAUGGUUUUUGAGUUCUCUUUUUUUUGUUCAAUUUUUUGUGAUUUUAAAUCCUCUCGGUGGCUACAGAUUUCAUCAGUUUUUCGGUUCGAUCAGGAUCACUUUUUUACCCACGAAAUCUAGCAUCUUCUGGUGAGUUUCGCGACUUUCUUCGUGUGGCUUUUUUGAAUUUUGUUUUUGUGGUUUUCGAUGUCCACAUGGGUUUUUUGUUUGAAUUUUGUAUUUGUGAUUUUGCUGGUUGUUUUGAAUUUAUAGAUGGCUUUUCUGUUCCAAUUUUGAUUCUGUGAUUUUGAGAGUUUGUUUAUAUUGUCAGAUCCGGCUUGGGUGUAUGAUCAAGAGACCUUGCUGUUUGUUUUUGGGCUUUGGUGUAUAGACUUCGAAGUCCUUUGUGCACAAGGUAAAUAAUUUAGUAUCUUCCUUUGAGGAUUUUGUGUCACAAAAUUUUUACUUUUUGUGUGUUGUGGAGGUUAAAUUUUGUGUAUUGUGAACGUUGAAUCUGUGCAAUUCCAUUUGUUCUUAAUUUUUUUGUGUAUUUGGAUAAUGUCGUUUUUUUUGGUGUUUUAGGUGGUGUUGCUUAAGUUAGUCUCUUUUGUUCUAAGUUGUAAAUGAUUUUCAUUCCAUGUUAUGUUGAGUUAUGUUAUUGCAGCAUUGAAAAGAGAUUGAGGGUUUUGGUUUAGUCAGACGGAGGGGGAGAUAAAGAGAGAAGUGGAUUAUGUGCAUGAAUGGGGUAUGUAGUUCAGUUGUUUCUGAGUAUUUGAAUUUCAGUUUUUAUUUUUGUGGUUCACCCGUAUUCAUUUUGGAUUGUUUUUUUUUUUUUUCAAUUUUAUUUUACAUAUUGUUUUGGAUAAUGUGAUUGGAGCUUUUAAAAGAGAAAUAUAGAGGUUUUUCUUUAGCUAGAGAAAGGACAUGAAUUGUGUCCCCAAAUGGGUUUGUUGGGUAAGGUAUAAAUCUUGAUUAAGAGUGAGUUUUAAAAGAAAAACAAAAGAAAAAAUGAACUCAAUGCAAUCUCCUUUAAUUAGCUCUUAAACCUAAUUUCUCUCUCUCCUCUCUCUAAAAUCCAUUUUUCAUUUUCUGAAAAGGGUUCAACAUAUAUUGUCUCUUUGUGUAGGUGGUACUCGGAGAAUUUUGUCAAGGGCCAAUGGGACAAGGAGGAUUGCAUUUCAGAUUGGCAGAAAUACAAUGCCUCCCAUCUGUGUGUUUCCAAUCUUUCCCCUCCUCCUAAAUUUUCAUCUAAAUCACAAUUUAUAUGAUUAUUUUGCUGAUUCUAUUUUUUGGUAUUUGAGUUUUUAUCUCCUGAUUAUUUUUUUUUUUCCAGAGAACUCCGCCGUGUAAGUUUAUCUUACAUUGCCGGUCCCAAGUCCGGAUAAAGGAGGAGGGGGAGGGCGUCAGGUAGUCGACAGCCGGCACUCCAUGAUCACGUCGAAUUCUUAUGAAAAUGAAUCCAGAACAAAAUCGCGCUAAAGCUAGGGCGUCACCCGUAAGUGGCGCGUUGUGUGGCCCGAGCACAGUGAUAAGUGAGCAAGGGUCGCUGUAUCUCCAUCGGCACCCGGAUGCAGUGUUAAAUGAGCAAGGGGGCUAUAGAAACUUCUUUUCGAACGACUCCACUCAAAGUUGUUUGGGAGCAUAUGCUCCUAUCAACUUUACACGGGACACACAAAAGAAGUACUUUGAUCCUAUUAGACGAGGAAGGGUGAAGAAGCUAGGACAGAAGGGUAGAGUUCAAGAGAGCAAAAUGCGUUUAGGAACGUGGAACAUAGGAACCUUGACGGGAAAAUCUAUGGAAGUAGUAGAAGUUAUGGUGAGGAGAAGGAUAAAUAUUAUGUGCCUACAAGAAACUAAGUGGGUUGGUCGUAAGGCAAAGGAUCUAGAAAACUC
This 3506-nucleotide long non-coding RNA is filed under the name Malus domestica (apple). RNAcentral describes it as "long non-coding RNA (MDOM_LNC006982)". The record is from RNAcentral. Lineage: Eukaryota; Viridiplantae; Streptophyta; Magnoliopsida; Rosales; Rosaceae.